RNAcentral lists this transfer RNA (62 nucleotides) under Cermatobius longicornis. Its description in RNAcentral is "tRNA-Cys". The record is from RNAcentral. Lineage: Eukaryota; Metazoa; Arthropoda; Chilopoda; Lithobiomorpha; Henicopidae.
GGUCUUAUAGUUUAUUAAGAAUAUUAAAUUGCAAGUUUAAAGGCAUUAUUGGGUUAAGAUCU